Molecule: unclassified non-coding RNA, 240 nt
Filed under: uncultured fungus
Lineage: Eukaryota; Fungi
Description: partial contains 5.8S ribosomal RNA, internal transcribed spacer 2, and large subunit ribosomal RNA
Source: RNAcentral
AACGCACAUUGCGCCCCCUGGUAUUCCGGGGGGCACACCUGUUCGAGCGCCAUUUCACCUCUCAAGCCUCGCUUGGUGAUGGGCUCAGCCCGCGGGCGGGCCCGAAACUCGUGGGCGUCGACGACCGGCUCCAAGCGUAGCAAAACCCUCGCUUCGGAACCCCGGUUGGCGGUCGCCCCGGACCUCAAAAUCUUUCACAAGGUUGGCCUCGGAUCAGGUGGGGAUACCCGCUGAACUUAG